GAUGAAGAACGCAGCGAAAUGCGAUAACUAAUGUGAAUUGCAGAAUUCAGUGAAUCAUCGAGUCUUUGAACGCACAUUGCGCCCCCUGGUAUUCCGGGGGGCAUGCCUGUCCGAGCGUCAUUGCUGCCCUCAAGCACGGCUUGUGUGUUGUGCUCCGUCCCCCCGGGGACGGGCCCGAAAGGCAGCGGCGGCACCGAGUCCGGUCCUCGAGCGUAUGGGGCUUUGUCACCCGCUCUGUAGGCCCGGCCGGCGCCAGCCGACAACCCAUCAUCCUUUUCAGGUUGACCUCGGAUCAGGUAGGGAUACCCGCUGAACUUAAGCAUAUCAAUAAGCGGAGGA
This 339-nucleotide unclassified non-coding RNA is filed under the name soil metagenome. RNAcentral describes it as "partial contains 5.8S ribosomal RNA, internal transcribed spacer 2, and large subunit ribosomal RNA". The stretch from base 1 to 120 matches the Rfam family "5.8S ribosomal RNA", at positions 35 to 154 of the family's 154-position model. The record is from RNAcentral.